Non-coding RNA from Podarcis muralis (Common wall lizard), 2770 nucleotides. The record is from RefSeq and is a predicted model, not a curated record. Lineage: Eukaryota; Metazoa; Chordata; Lepidosauria; Squamata; Lacertidae.
ACCCAUCCCACCUCCCCUUCCCUCCACCCCCCAGUUGUACAGCUUUCAUACCAAUCUCGACAUUAGACUAAAUACCUGGUGACUCCCCUUCCACCCUUUCCCUGCUUUUCUAUUAACUCCUAUUCUGCUGGAUUUACUCAAGACCUGCUAGGUGGUAUUUACUUGUUUAUACUGGUUCUUAAAAUAUUCAAUAAACAUCUUCCAAUCAUCCUUAUAUUCUUUAUCAUCUUUUUCUCUUGCCCUGUUCGUUAUGCUUGCCAAUUCAGCAUAUUCAAACAUUUUAAACUGCCACUCUUCCUUGGGGGGGUUCUGUGUUUGCUCCCACCUUUGCACCAAGAAGAUUCUAGCAGCAGUGGUGGCAUAUAAUAAUAUUUUUUUGUUUUGAUUUUUAGGGACUUCUGUUGUUACCAUUCCCAAAAGGAAUGCCUCGGGCUUUGGGGGGAAUUUUUUUUUAAUAUAUUUUUUAAUGUAUUGUAAAUUACUUCCCAGAAUUCCCUGAUUACUUUACAGGACCACCACAUGUGGGAAAAGCAUCCCUCUACUUCAUUGCAUUUACCUUUUUCUUUUUUCAACAUUUUCACUAGUUUGGCAGGUGUUAAAUAGUAUGUUCUUGCUGGCUGACUAAAACAAUAAGGUGAUGGGACCUGACAUAUCUCAGUUGGCAAAGUGUUCCACAGGCUGGGCAUCGGAAAAAGCCCUGCCACCGGUUAACAUCAGUCGUAUUUCAUGGGGUCAAGGGAUCUGGAGAUGAUGACCAGAACAUAUGGAAGAAGGCAAGUAUUUGCUGAACUGAACUGCCAUCCCAAGACUGCAAUGGCUUUGGAAAUCAAGUUAAGAUUCUAAUAUUUGGACCUUCCAUUUUCCAAUUGCUUGCAAAGAGCCCAUUCCCUAAUAUUUCAAAAUAUUUGACUCAUAUAAUAUGUAGACUGGCUCCUAUAAUAUGUAAACUGUUAAUGCCUAGGAAUGUUUGGGCUCAGCCAAUGUCACCCUGCCCUUUCUGAGCCAGAACAGCAAUCUGCAGCAUAUUUAUUGCAUCUUGCAAAGUCAGUGGGUUAUGGUUCUCUUUCUUAACCAUAAAAAAGGAAAGAAAAAUGGUUACAGCUUUCUCAAUUCUGUAAAUUAGUAAAAACAAAGAAAGAAGCAAGUUUGAAGCUUUUGAAAACAGCAAGCAUAUUAAGUAUAUCAAUUUUCUAAAAAAUGGAAACAUCUUGCCAUCUUGAAAUUUGUGGUUUUUAAUACAGGAGACUCCUGAUUCCUUGUAUAGAUUACAAAAUGCAGCUGUGCAGCAACAUAAAUGUCUCACAGGGACAGGUAGAUACCUAACCCAAAUGCGGUAUCCACGCUUGAGUAAUCCAGAGACCUUGUCCUCCAUUCUUGCUGCUUGGCUGUCCUGCACUGUUCAAAUUACCUUUGUUUCUUCCAAGUAAGAAAAACAAUUUUGCUAAAGUUGAGAUAUCGGUGCUAAAGUCUAUGAAGCUACUGUUUUGUACCUCAGUGGCUUCUCUGGUCUAAUCACUCUUCUUUAUGGGCCAUGUUUUCCUAGCAAGCAGAUACCAUGCCUCUAGAAAUGCACAUCUUGUGGAUCUAAAUGCACUUUCUUCUCACCAGCAUCACUAUCUUUGUGGCUUCCUAACAAGCUGACUAUUUAUCACAUAUAUGAAGGAAAAUGAUGCUUUGCAGAUCUGCUGCCAGCUGGCCAUGAAGUAUCCAGAUGCUUGUAAACCUCAGGAUUCAGUGAGAGUGGAAUUCUUAAUACUGAGUCUUUGGAACUGGGUGUUCAGACUCUGUGGCCCAGCCAGGAAUCAUUUCCUUGGGAUAAUCCAUGCCAGAAGAAGAAUGAAGGAGUAGCAUGGCCAGUGCCAAACAUUGGGGGAUAACAGCAGCAUUCUGGAACAAGGAAGAAAUCCUGAUCUGGACACAUUCCUAUACUGCUCACCCAUCCAUUGAGACUUCAGUCAUUUCUGGGCAAUUUGGAUACAUCUCUGGCUAAGAGUGACAAGAACUGCAUAGCCUAGUGCUGAUGCAAGCUGGUGGGCGGGUGCUUGGACAGCGCAAGAGCUCAGAAGACCCUAAGCACUCUUGGAAGAAAGCAGGAAUGCCACACAUUCCAGAGGCCUUGGGAGACAAAGAGGAAUGCAAGGACCCAUUUUCCCUCUGCAGAAGCUGAACUCUCAGAGCAACUGACACAUUGCUUAUCAAGCUGAUCUGUGCAAGAAGAAGCCACUGUUAUACCAGAAACGGUUUGGAAGGGAAGUCGAAUACCUGGGCACUUGUCACAAUGAGAAGCAAAGGUUGGCUGUGAUGGCCAAAUACCUGAGCAAGUUCAGUAGAAUGAAAUAGAAAACUCUGCUCUUAAAUCUUCAGAGAAUAUGGCAGGAACAGUUUGGCAGACUUCUACAUUCAUGAAAGCAUCUAGAUAAGCUUUCUUGUAUAAGCUAGAGGAAAGCAAUAUGUUGCCAGAAUCUAUCCAACAUUGUAUCUAAAAGAGGUGUCAGCAGCAGGAGUUUCACAGGACUCUAAUGAAAACAGAUGCACUUUUACCUCCUGACACUGGUGUGGAUGUAGGAUUCACCACCUCCCUAGAAAUUCACGCAGGUACAGAAUGGUCACUGGGCUGCUGCAUCCUGUCUGUUUGUGCUUUCUCAUGGCUUUCCUUUCUUCUCAAGGAGCAAAGAGUGAACUUCCCAGCAAGUAAAUAUGGUAGCACCUGCUUUUUGCACCUGACCCAUGUAAUCGUAUUUUUCUAAAUAAAUUUUUUUUUGGUACUGGU